GCCAACAUUCAUCUUUGAAGAAAUUAUCCAAUAGUAUGGGAACUCGUGGUUAGACAAUGACCACCAUCGUUACGAUGGUCAACAAUGAUAUUGGGAGCCCAUUGCGAGGACAACGAUGUCAUCCAAAAUUUUGAAAUUUUGGGAGGGCUAUUCUCCAAAGGCAAUGGCUGACUCCAGAAUGUAGGAAACCACGAACCAUGAAGAAAGAGGGCAAAACAAGGGGCCACGAAUUCCAGCUUCGAAUGCAAAUCUCGCAAUCAGCUACUCUUAGCCAAGACUGCAAGAUUAGACAAGCGCGUAGGCACACAGGAGUG
RNAcentral lists this long non-coding RNA (314 nucleotides) under Elaeis guineensis (African oil palm). RNAcentral's name for it is "long non-coding RNA (EGUI_LNC005459)". Lineage: Eukaryota; Viridiplantae; Streptophyta; Magnoliopsida; Arecales; Arecaceae. The record is from RNAcentral.